RNAcentral lists this ribosomal RNA (526 nucleotides) under Syntrophorhabdus sp. RNAcentral describes it as "bacterial SSU rRNA". It matches the Rfam family "Bacterial small subunit ribosomal RNA", at positions 1 to 506 of the family's 1533-position model. Lineage: Bacteria; Pseudomonadati; Thermodesulfobacteriota; Syntrophorhabdia; Syntrophorhabdales; Syntrophorhabdaceae. The record is from RNAcentral.
UUUGAGAGUUUGAUCCUGGCUCAGAACGAACGCUGGCGGCGUGCCUAACACAUGCAAGUCGAGCGCGAAAGUCCCUUCGGGGGCGAGUAGAGCGGCGGACGGGUGAGUAAUACAUAGGUAAUCUACCUUCGAGCUUGGGAUAACCCCGCGAAAGUGGGGCUAAUACCGGAUAAGACCACGCAACCAUGUUGCGGGGUAAAAGGUGGCUUAUUUUUUAAAUGAGCUGUCACUUGAGGAUGAGCCUAUGGCCUAUCAGCUUGUUGGCGGGGUAAGAGCCCACCAAGGCUAUGACGGGUAGCUGGUCUGAGAGGACGACCAGCCACACUGGGACUGAGACACGGCCCAGACUCCUACGGGAGGCAGCAGUGGGGAAUAUUGGGCAAUGGGCGCAAGCCUGACCCAGCGACGCCGCGUGGGCGAUGAAGGCCUUCGGGUUGUAAAGCCCUGUCAUGCGGAAAGAACGACCCUGUGACGCAUACUCACAGGGAGUGACGGUACCGCAGGAGGAAGCACCGGCUAACUCCGU